AACAGGUGGGGAUAGUGUGGAACAGGUGGGGACAGUGGGGAACAGGUGGGGAUAGUGUGGAAGAGGUGGAGCCAGCGGGGAACAGGAGGGGAAGAGGUGGGGCCAGCGGGGAACAGGUGGGGACAGUGGAGAACAGGUGGGGGCAGAAAAUAACAGGUGGGGACAGUGGAGAACAGGUGGGGGCAGAAAAUAACAGGUGGGAACAGGUGGGGACAGUGGAGAACAGGUGGGGACAUUGGGGAACAGGUGGGCACAGUGGAGAACAGGUGGGGGCAGAAAAUAACAGGUGGGGACAGUGGAGUACAGGUGGGGACAAUGGUGAACAGGUAGGGACAGUGGGGAACAGGUGGGGACAGUGGAGAACAGGUGGGGACAGUGGAAAACAGGUGGGGACAGUGGAGAACAGGUGGGGACAGUGGAAAACAGGUGGGGACAGUGGAGAACAGGUGGGGACAGUGGAGAACAGGUGGGGACAGUGGAGAACAGAUGGGGCAGAAAAGAACAGGUGGGGAACAGGUGGGGAAAGUGGAGAACAGAUAGGGACAGUGGAGAACAGGUGGGGGCAGAAAAGAG
Molecule: long non-coding RNA, 573 nt
Organism: Oncorhynchus tshawytscha (Chinook salmon)
Lineage: Eukaryota; Metazoa; Chordata; Actinopteri; Salmoniformes; Salmonidae
Source: Ensembl